Molecule: ribosomal RNA, 497 nt
Filed under: uncultured bacterium
Lineage: Bacteria
Description: partial 16S ribosomal RNA
Rfam family: Bacterial small subunit ribosomal RNA
Source: RNAcentral
GAUGAACGCUGGCGGCGUGCCUAAUACAUGCAAGUCGAGCGAACAGACGAUGAGCUUGCGCCUCUGACGUUAGCGGAGGACGGGUGAGAAACACGUGUAUAACCUACCUAUAAGAGUGGUAUAACUACGGAAAACCGGAUCUAAUAGCGGAUAAUAUAUUGAACCGCGGUGUGCAAUAGUGAAAUACGGCUUUGCUGGCAGUUAUAGAUGGAUCCGGGCCGCUUUGGCUAGUUGGUAAGGUAACGGCUUACCACGGCGACGAGGCGUUGGCGACGUCAGAGACUGAUAGCCGACCCUGGAGCUGGGCCGGGGACAAGACUCCUAAGGGAGGGCGCAGUCGCGAAUCUUACGCAAUGGGCGAAAGCCUGGCGGAGCAAGGCGGAGUGAGUGAUGACGGUCCUCGGAUCGUAAAGCUCUGUUAUUAGGGAUGAACCACUGUGUCCGUAAAUAUGCAGGUCUUGACGGUACCUAAUAAGAAAGCCCCGGCUAACUACGUG